RNAcentral lists this ribosomal RNA (492 nucleotides) under uncultured bacterium. Its description in RNAcentral is "partial 16S ribosomal RNA". It matches the Rfam family "Bacterial small subunit ribosomal RNA", at positions 29 to 507 of the family's 1533-position model. The record is from RNAcentral.
AGUGAACGCUGGCGGUAGGCCUAACACAUGCAAGUCGAACGGCAGCACAGUAAGAGCUUGCUCUUACGGGUGGCGAGUGGCGGACGGGUGAGGAAUACAUCGGAAUCUACUUUUUCGUGGGGGAUAACGUAGGGAAACUUACGCUAAUACCGCAUACGACCUACGGGUGAAAGCAGGGGAUCUUCGGACCUUGCGCGAUUGAAUGAGCCGAUGUCGGAUUAGCUAGUUGGCGGGGUAAAGGCCCACCAAGGCGACGAUCCGUAGCUGGUCUGAGAGGAUGAUCCGCCACCCUGGAACUGAGACACGGUCCCGACUCCUACGGGAGGCAGCAGUGGGGAAUAUUGGACAAUGGGCGCAAGCCUGAUCCAGCCAUACCGCGUGGGUGAAGAAGGCCUUCGGGUUGUAAAGCCCUUUUGUUGGGAAAGAAAAGCAGCAGGUUAAUACCCCGCUGUUCUGACGGUACCCAAAGAAUAAGCACCGGCUAACUUCGUG